CAGUAGCCGCGGUAAUACGAAGGGUGCAAGCGUUACUCGGAAUUACCGGGCGUAAAGCGUGCGUAGGCGGUGAGUUAAGUCUGCUGUGAAAUCCCCGGGCUCAACCUGGGAAUGGCAAUGGAUACUGGCAAGCUAGAGUGUGUCAGAGGAUGGUGGAAUUCCCGGUGUAGCGGUGAAAUGCGUAGAGAUCGGGAGGAACAUCAGUGGCGAAGGCGGCCAUCUGGGACAACACUGACGCUGAGGCACGAAAGCGUGGGGAGCAAACAGGAUUAGAUACCCGAGUAGUCCCUGUCUCUUAUAU
RNAcentral lists this ribosomal RNA (301 nucleotides) under uncultured bacterium. Its description in RNAcentral is "partial 16S ribosomal RNA". It matches the Rfam family "Bacterial small subunit ribosomal RNA", at positions 509 to 809 of the family's 1533-position model. The record is from RNAcentral.